GUCCACGCCCUAAACGAUGUCAACUGGUUGUUGGACGGCUUGCUGUUCAGUAACGAAGCUAACGCGUGAAGUUGACCGCCUGGGGAGUACGGCCGCAAGGUUGAAACUCAAAGGAAUUGACGUGGACCCCGCACAAGCGGUGGAUGAUGUGGUUUAAUUCGAUGCAACGCGAAAACAUUACCUACCCUUGACAUGUCAAGAAUCUUGCAGAGAUGUGAGAGUGCUCGAAAGAGAACUUGAACACAGGUGCUGCAUGGCCGUCGU
Molecule: ribosomal RNA, 264 nt
Filed under: uncultured bacterium
Lineage: Bacteria
Description: partial 16S ribosomal RNA
Rfam family: Bacterial small subunit ribosomal RNA
Source: RNAcentral